GGCGCAGCAGUCGAGGAAUAUUGGACAAUGGGCGCAAGCCUGAUCCAGCCAUGCCGCGUGCAGGAAGACGGUCCUAUGGAUUGUAAACUGCUUUUAUACAGGAAGAAACACCACUACGAGUAGUGACUUGACGGUACUGUAAGAAUAAGGAUCGGCUAACUCCGUGCCAGCAGCCGCGGUAAUACGGAGGAUCCAAGCGUUAUCCGGAAUCAUUGGGUUUAAAGGGUCCGUAGGCGGUUUAAUAAGUCAGUGGUGAAAUCUGGUCGCUUAACGAUCAAACGGCCAUUGAUACUGUUAGACUUGAACUAUUAGGAGGUAACUAGAAUAUGUAGUGUAGCGGUGAAAUGCUUAGAUAUUACAUGGAAUACCAAUUGCGAAGGCAGGUUACUACUAAUAUAUUGACGCUGAUGGACGAAAGCGUGGGGAGCGAACAGGAUUAGAUACCCGAGUA
This 451-nucleotide ribosomal RNA is filed under the name uncultured bacterium. Its description in RNAcentral is "bacterial SSU rRNA". It matches the Rfam family "Bacterial small subunit ribosomal RNA", at positions 345 to 792 of the family's 1533-position model. The record is from RNAcentral.